AUAAAUGAGAUAAGUCGUAACAUAGUAGAUGUAUUGGAAAAUGUAUCUAGAAAGUCAACUUAUAGUUCUAAUAGGGAAUUCCCCAUUUACACUGGGUGGGCUCCUGUGCAAUUCAGGAUUGGUUGUAAAA
This 130-nucleotide ribosomal RNA is filed under the name Hetaerina majuscula. RNAcentral describes it as "partial 12S ribosomal RNA". The record is from RNAcentral. Lineage: Eukaryota; Metazoa; Arthropoda; Insecta; Odonata; Calopterygidae.